GACGAACGCUGGCGGCGUGCUUAACACAUGCAAGUCGAACGAUGAACCCGGAGCUUGCUCCGGCGGAUUAGUGGCGAACGGGUGAGUAACACGUGAGUAACCUGCCCUUGACUCUGGGAUAACUGCUAGAAAUGGUAGCUAAUACCGGAUACGACCCUCGGUGGCAUCACCAGGGGGUGGAAAGAAUUCCGGUCAAGGAUGGACUCGCGGCCUAUCAGCUAGUUGGUGAGGUAACGGCUCACCAAGGCGACGACGGGUAGCCGGCCUGAGGGGGUGACCGGCCACACUGGGACUGAGACACGGCCCAGACUCCUACGGGAGGCAGCAGUGGGGAAUAUUGCACAAUGGGCGCAAGCCUGAUGCAGCAACGCCGCGUGAGGGAUGACGGCCUUCGGGUUGUAAACCUCUUUUAGUAGGGAAGAAGCGAAAGUGACGGUACCUGCAGAAAAAGCACCGGCUAACUACGUGCCAGCCGCCGCGGUAA
Molecule: ribosomal RNA, 484 nt
Filed under: uncultured bacterium
Lineage: Bacteria
Description: partial 16S ribosomal RNA
Rfam family: Bacterial small subunit ribosomal RNA
Source: RNAcentral